This 432-nucleotide ribosomal RNA is filed under the name Bifidobacterium catenulatum. RNAcentral describes it as "bacterial SSU rRNA". It matches the Rfam family "Bacterial small subunit ribosomal RNA", at positions 214 to 656 of the family's 1533-position model. The record is from RNAcentral. RNAcentral also lists the same sequence under 1 other name. Lineage: Bacteria; Bacillati; Actinomycetota; Actinomycetes; Bifidobacteriales; Bifidobacteriaceae.
AUCGGUAUGGGAUGGGGUCGCGUCCUAUCAGGUAGUCGGCGGGGUAACGGCCCACCGAGCCUACGACGGGUAGCCGGCCUGAGAGGGCGACCGGCCACAUUGGGACUGAGAUACGGCCCAGACUCCUACGGGAGGCAGCAGUGGGGAAUAUUGCACAAUGGGCGCAAGCCUGAUGCAGCGACGCCGCGUGCGGGAUGACGGCCUUCGGGUUGUAAACCGCUUUUGAUCGGGAGCAAGCCUUCGGGUGAGUGUACCUUUCGAAUAAGCACCGGCUAACUACGUGCCAGCAGCCGCGGUAAUACGUAGGGUGCAAGCGUUAUCCGGAAUUAUUGGGCGUAAAGGGCUCGUAGGCGGUUCGUCGCGUCCGGUGUGAAAGUCCAUCGCUUAACGGUGGAUCUGCGCCGGGUACGGGCGGGCUGGAGUGCGGUAGGG